GUGAGUCUGAUGCGACUGACAGUGAACCACUGACUGUGAUCCAGCAGCCAGAAGUUACACCCCCUCAGCCUGUGGCAAACCAAGCAAUGAAAGCCAAACUGGCUCGCCUGUCCCUCUCCCUCUCCCUCCCUCCUCUCCCUCUUGCUCUCCCUCUCUCCUCCAGUCCCAAGGGAGGGUUCAGGGAGGGCGGGCUACACAGAGACAGGAGUGGGAGACGGAGGGGUGCGUCCCCAGGAAGUGACCCCGAUGAGGAUGAGGAAGAAGAACAGGAAGACGAAGGCUCCAGGAGGGUGAUUGUUGUCACUGAAACAGAUGUUGGCAAAAGGGUGGGGCUCAGGAGUCUGUUGAAGUCGCCAAGGGAACCGAUAGACAAAGAAAAAGACAGAGGGAGAAACGUGUCCUUUUUUGAUGAUGUCACUGUCUAUCUCUUUGAUCAGGAAACUCCAACCAGUGAGCUGAGUGGUUCCACCUGCACCAGUCCAGCCAGCUCCAGCUCCUAACAAAAGCACUAAAUUUGAUUUACAUGGAGCAAACAGCAAAGGCAAAGACUCCAAAAGAAAAGGGGACUUGUCAGUCAAACCGAGGUCGCCCGUGGGGGCCAACCCAGUGACAUCCUCGCGUUUUACCGUCAGCCCAGCCGAUGACCCCCACUUGGUGUGAGGCAGGGUUCCAGAAUCCUCUGAGUUGUUCUGUAACCCUCAGAACAGGAACCUUCUGAGAGUGGCCAGUGGAUUCCCCUCCAACCAUAACCAUUCUCAGAGGCUAUUUUUUUAUGGAUCAGGCAACGGAAAGAAAAGACCCCCGUUCUAAAAGCUGGACACAUUCCAGGUUUAACCAGCUACCAGUCCUUGUACGAGAAAGGUUGUUGAUAUAAUAACUCUUCCCUUUGCCACUGUAACCUAGGGUCGAUUUAUAGACACUGGCUGGAAGUGGUUGAUGGCAAAGGCAGUUUGUCCUCGGCGAAGAACAGUCUGGAGCUUUGUCAAAUCUGAAACGGAUUGACGGCUAUGCAAUGGGAGUCAUUGUGUACCAGCUUACCUUCUCUUUACCUGCUUCUUUCGGUUGUCUUUACCCAGUAUGUACUGGGGGAUGCACUUUCUUUUAGUCAUGUAUCUGUCUAUGUGGAAGCUUGGAUUGAAAUCUUAACUUUGUAAAAACGAUUUUCAUUGCAGUCAGUCAUACUUGUAGGCAGCAGUUGGGGCCAGAAAACAAUCUUAACUCCUGUAUUUAAGAGUACUCAUUCAACAUUUUGUAUAAAGAUAGUGUAUACAAUAUAAUUUUAGAGCUGUUUAAUUUAGAUGUAUUCUUAGACUGCACGAAAAGAUGAAAACAAGCUAUGUUUCUAUAUACUUUUAUUCUAAAAGACUAUGUGUAGCUAUUAUUUAUUUAAUUUAGUCAUUAUUUAUUAAAACAAUAUUUCCAUGCUUUGUAAAUAUUGUUUAUUUAUUUUGGUGCAAUUAAUUUAUCUCUCAGAAUUGUUUGGGACAAAAUGCAUCUAAGUAAUAGUUUCUUGAUUGAAUUAUUCUUCAUAACAAAUAAAGCAAGAUAUUUUCCCCAACCCCCAAAAUUAUUUAGUAUAAUUUCAUGUCUUUAUAACUGCCAUCCUGUGCUUAACUUAUGUCCUCAACUUGUAGGGUUUCCCAAACUGGGUCCUGGGGCCCCCACGGGUGCAUGUUUUAGUUUUGUCCCAGCACUACACAGCUGAUUCGAAUAACCAACUCAUCAUCAAGCUUUGAUUAUUUUAAUCAUCUGUGUAGUGCUGGGAAAAGGGGGGGCAGGACUGGGUUCGGAAAACCUUGCUCUAAUAUAUAUAUAACAUGUUUCAUUAUUUUCUAAUAUGAUUCAAUGUAUCGUUGUCUUGUCAUAAUUUGACUUUGUUUGAGGACAAUGAUAGCAUGAUAAAACGGAAGCUUCUCAUCGGUAAAUAUCUCCAAAAGUUCAUGUAUUUGUUGAUUUACAUUCAUUUUUUACUAAUAGCAACCCAUCAUGCAGUCAAGCUCCAACUAGUCCCUUUGUUUAGUCUGUUUCAACAUCUGUUUAAAACCUGUAUUGUUUAAAGAAUGUGUUUCAUGGGAUGCUGUAUGAAACCAGGGGAAAUGAAAACAACAUAAAAACUGUGAAACAUUUAUUGAACUGUUUGAUGAAAAUAAAUUGUACUGUCUUAUAUUCUUAAA
Oncorhynchus keta (chum salmon) is the source of this 2174-nucleotide long non-coding RNA. RefSeq lists it as uncharacterized. The record is from RefSeq and is a predicted model, not a curated record. Lineage: Eukaryota; Metazoa; Chordata; Actinopteri; Salmoniformes; Salmonidae. The transcript has 4 exons.